UGCCAGCAGCCGCGGUAAUACGGGAGGGGCAAGUCUUAUUCGAAAUUACUGGGCGUAAAGGGUAAGUAGGCAGUUGAUUAGGUUGUAUAUGAAAUACCGAGACAUAAUUUCGGGAGUGUAUACAAAACGAAUCAACUAGGAUUGAGUAAAGGAUAGUAGAAUUUUUAAUGGAGGGUUAAGUUCCGUAGAUAUUAAAAGGAAUAUCAAAAGCGAAGGCAACUAUCUAGGCUUAAAUUGACGCUGAAUUACGAAGGAGUAGGUAGCGAAUCGGAUUAGAUA
This 279-nucleotide ribosomal RNA is filed under the name uncultured bacterium. RNAcentral describes it as "partial 16S ribosomal RNA". It matches the Rfam family "Bacterial small subunit ribosomal RNA", at positions 506 to 784 of the family's 1533-position model. The record is from RNAcentral.